RNAcentral lists this ribosomal RNA (404 nucleotides) under uncultured bacterium. RNAcentral's name for it is "bacterial SSU rRNA". It matches the Rfam family "Bacterial small subunit ribosomal RNA", at positions 108 to 518 of the family's 1533-position model. The record is from RNAcentral.
GAGUAACCGCGUGGGUAACCUGCCUCAUAACACAUGGAUAACAUACCGAAAGGUAUGCUAAUACAGGAUAACAUAAGAGAUUCACAUAGAUUUUUUAUCAAAGGCUCCGGGCGGUAUGAGAUGGACCCGCGUCUGAGUUAGCUAGGUUGGUAAGGUAACGGCUUACCAAGGGCGACGAUCAGUACGCCGACCUGAGAGGGUGAUCGGCCACAUUGGAACUGAGACACGGUCCAAACUCCUACGGGAGGCAGCAGUGGGGAAUAUUGCACAAUGGGCGAAAGCCUGAUGCAAGCAACGCCGCGUGAGUGUAUGAAGGGCCUUCGGGUCGUAAAACUCUGUCCUCAAGGUAAGAUAAUGACGGUACUUGAGGAGGAAGCCCCGGCUAACUACGUGCCAGCAGCAGC